GAUGAACGCUGGCGGCGUGCCUAAUACAUGCAAGUCGAGCGAACAGAUGAGGAGCUUGCUCCUCUGACGUUAGCGGCGGACGGGUGAGUAACACGUGGAUAACCUACCUAUAAGACUGGGAUAACUUCGGGAAACCGGAGCUAAUACCGGAUAAUAUAUUGAACCGCAUGGUUCAAUAGUGAAAGACGGUUUUGCUGUCACUUAUAGAUGGAUCCGCGCCGCAUUAGCUAGUUGGUAAGGUAACGGCUUACCAAGGCAACGAUGCGUAGCCGACCUGAGAGGGUGAUCGGCCCCACUGGAAAUGAGACCCGGUUCCGACCCCCAACGGAGGCAAGAGGAGGGAAUCUUCCGGAAUGGGCGAAAGCCUGACGGGGGAACGGCGCGUGGAUGAAGAAGGGCUUCGGAUUCUAAAACUCUUUUAAUAGGGAAGAACAAAUGUUUAAAUAACCAUGCACGUCUUGACGGUACCUAAUCAGGAAAGCACCGCUAAACACGGG
This 497-nucleotide ribosomal RNA is filed under the name uncultured bacterium. RNAcentral's name for it is "partial 16S ribosomal RNA". It matches the Rfam family "Bacterial small subunit ribosomal RNA", at positions 28 to 507 of the family's 1533-position model. The record is from RNAcentral.